GCAACACAAAAUCCUUCAAAGGAAAAUCAUUCGGCACUAUCGAGAAGCUAGCAAAACCAUUAGGAGCACACGACUGCGACUGCAACGAUAGGCCAGCAGCAGAACUUGAUGCUCAAGCCAUCGACGUCCGUCAAAAUCACGAUUAUAGCGAUAAUAGCAUCGCUAGGCUAAAUGCCCAAAUCGACCACAUAUUUGGCACUAAAUUCGAGAGUAAAACCCUCUACCACGACCGCUAGUCAGAGGGCGGCCACCACGAACCGACUCCACCAGCGAUGGCGAUGGAAUAGACUCCGUAAGAUUGGCAUGGAUCGGCACCUCUGGAAGCGCUCGCAACUGUCGACUCUCAUAUUCGAGUAGCACAUCAACGAGACGCUGAAAUGGCAAGCUUUCAGAUGAGAAUAAUGCUAACGUAAUCACAGCAUCGAACUCCGGUGGAUGACCUACAAGGAUAAUCUCAACUUUCUCUGCCUGCGAGAUCCGAGAGCCAGAGGCAUCGAUCAAGGCAUAGGUAUUUUGUAUUCUUGCUAUAUAGUCUUUGAUUGAGAGGUUACCUUUCUUAACAGAAUGCAAUUCAUGACGAAUUCUUUACAACUUCGCACCAGUGACUGUUGCGAAGAGACGAGUGGUCGUAGUCCAAACAUCACAGGUCGUUCAAGCGUCAGUAAAGGAGGAUAACAGCGAGGGAUGAAUAGUACAGAGUAACCAGGAGGCAAGCAAUCGAUCUUGUUGAGUAAAUGCAGAUGCAUUCAGAUUUGGAAAGAGAGAUCCUUGAGAUGAUUGCACGAAACGCGGCGGAGCAAGUAAUGUCCCAUCCAAAAAGCCAGUCAAUUCGUAACCUUUAACGAUUAACUGAAUGUGUUGCUACCAUUGAACGAAAAUUCCAUUAUCUAGCUUAACAGUGUCAUGGCGAGGAAAGGAGUUAAUGAUCUGAUCACCAGUAAACGUCGAGCAGCCAGGCUCGGCAAAAGCAAAAUUAGCAGAAGUAGUGGUAGUCAUGAAUGUGAAUGAAAAUCAGGACUCCAACAUCGAGGCGACUGAUACCAUGUUAAGAUCCAGAGUGAGCUAAGUAAAAUAU
This 1075-nucleotide long non-coding RNA is filed under the name Gossypium barbadense (sea-island cotton). Its description in RNAcentral is "long non-coding RNA (GBAR_LNC018448)". The record is from RNAcentral. Lineage: Eukaryota; Viridiplantae; Streptophyta; Magnoliopsida; Malvales; Malvaceae.